CUCAUAUACAAAGCAGAUUUCCACAUCAUCAGUCUCCAAAAAUACCUUUUUGUACAUAAGUAACAUAACUAUAACCUUUUGUUUGUACAACUCUUCCAAACAUAAUCAUGUGUACCCUUAAACCUAUAUAUAAAAGGGGGGAGAAGUCAAAGUCUUCCGCCAAAACCUCCUUGGAUAUAACGAUCUAACUAAAUAACAAAGAUACUCAAUAUUUAUUCGUGUUGAUUUCCCACUCA
RNAcentral lists this long non-coding RNA (236 nucleotides) under Brassica napus (rape). RNAcentral describes it as "long non-coding RNA (BNAP_LNC009817)". The record is from RNAcentral. Lineage: Eukaryota; Viridiplantae; Streptophyta; Magnoliopsida; Brassicales; Brassicaceae.